This is a long non-coding RNA of Ictalurus punctatus (channel catfish), 8293 nucleotides long. RefSeq lists it as uncharacterized. The transcript has 2 exons. The record is from RefSeq and is a predicted model, not a curated record. NCBI's taxonomy places the organism in Eukaryota, Metazoa, Chordata, Actinopteri, Siluriformes, Ictaluridae.
AUAUUACUAACCUAGUAUAUAAGGUUAUUAACUUAUAUACUUAUAUUUUUUUGCAUAGUCUUCUCUCACCCUUUACCCCCCCAUCCACUCACCAACAUAAAUAGAUCAUAAGCUCUCUAGUUUUAUUUAAACUAAUUUUUAUUUAAAGCAGUGUAACAAAGCUAGCACAAAAUGUAAUUCAGUACUUCAGUGCUUCUACCUGGUAAGCUCUCAAAUCUCACCAUCUGUCACUGCACACAACCUUGGGGUAGUCCUAGACAACAAACUUUCCUUCCCACCUCACAGCACUUAACAGACUUGCUCAUGCAAACUCCAGAAAAUGCCUUUCUUGAAACAAGCAAGACACACUUAAGUCUAGUUAAAGUGUACUAAAAUCAAGCAAAAAAUUCCAAUGGGGUAAGCAAAACUGUCUCAGUAUGAAUUCUUGAAAAUAGCAUAAAUAUCUAGUCACUAAAAAUGCUAUUGGAUCUCAAAAAAAGAUAAAAAUGGCAAAAUUUAAGCAAGUUGUGCUUAUUACAAGCAAUGAAAAUGUUAUUCAAGAUAGACUUACUUACUUAAUCUAAGAUUGUUACGAAGCGUAGAUGGAGACAAGCGCGGGCGAGCGGAGGGAUGACGUGAGGAAGAAUCCAGAACGAGAAUCGAAUCGGGACAGGAUAGGUAAGCUGUGAAUCAGGGACGUAGGCAAAAGCGUAGUGAGAGACGAGCGUGAAGUCGAGCACCAGGGAAAACACUUCUAAUGAAAUCGGCUUGGUAAACAAACAGAGACGAGGCUGCUGAGCAGUUACUUUGCAAGCGGCUAAUGCUAGGGAGGCCCUUAUAUAACCUUAGGUGUUUGCAGGUGUUCGUAAUUAGACCUCCGGCUAACUCGAGCGUGGGUAUGACUGGGAAGUGUAGUCCUCCUCUGCCACGUUCCUGGGCGGCCCUACACUUUGUGAGCUGCCACGCCGAUUUCGCCGUGUUGUAACAGAGCCCCCCCCCAAAGGGCUCACUCCGGGAGCCGAAGUUCUCCGAGGCCUCCCCCCCUCCAGGGGGCUGGUUUGUCUGGAUGAGCCGCGUGGAAGUCCUUACGCAGGCCUGCGUCCAGAAUGUCUCGGGCUGAAACCCAGCACUGUUCCUCUGGUCCAUACCGCUCCCAGUCUACCAGAUACUGAAGUCCCCCUCUCCUCCGUCUGGAGUCUAAAAUGUUGCGGACACGGUAGGCUGGGCGGCCUUCUAUCUCCAACGGUUCCGGUGGGGAAUCCUCCGGCACCGCUGUGGCCAAGGGGCCUGAGAUCACAGGUUUGAGAAGUGAGACGUGGAAAGACGGGGCGAUGUGACUGUGUCUCAGAAGGUCCAGACGAUACGUGACUUCAUUAAUUUGCCUCAGAAUUGGGAAGGGCCCGAUAUACUUCGGUUGAAGUUUUGUGCCCGUGAUGGGUCUCAGAUCUCUUGUGGAGAGCCACACCCUGUCCCCGGGUCGCUAAUUAGGGUGAGCCCUCCGGCGCCGGUCGGCCUUUCGUUUAGCGAUGGGGGACGUCUGCACCAGCUGUUGAUGGGCACGCUCCCUGACCUGUUCACUUCGGCGGAACCACUCAUCCACUGCUGGCGAGUCCGUGUGAGACGCGUUCCAGGGGAAUAAUGGCGGUUGGUAACCCAAGACACACUGGAACGGGGUGAGCUGGGUGGCAGAAUGCCAUAGCGAGUUCUGGGCGUAUUCCGCCCAUGGAAGGUACUGACUCCAGUACCCUGGGUUGGCCGAGCAGUAAGUCCGAAGGAACUGUAUGACUUCCUGGUUGGCCCGUUCUGCCUGUCCGUUAGCCUGGGGGUGGUAACCGGACGUGAGAUUAAUGGCGACCCCCAUCUUCCUCGUAAAGCUGGCCCAAACCCGCGAUGUGAACUGUGGCCCCCUAUCAGUCACAAUCUCCUCGGGGAUGCCAAAGUAUCAAAAGACGUGUUGAAACAGGAGUUCCGCCGUGGUGAAGGCAGACGGGAUGGCUGGUACUGUAAUUAAGCGCAGGGACUUCGAGAACCGAUAUACGACCCCCAGUAUCGCGGAGUUCCCCUGCGACUUCGGCAAGUCGGUUAUGAAAUCGAGGGCCAGAUGGGACCACGGACGUUCAGGUAUGGGUAAGGGUACCAACUUCCCAGCCGGGAGCGCACGUGGGCCCUUGGACUGAGCGCAAGAGGAACACGAGGAUACGAUGCGCUGAACCUCUCUGGGCAUGUUGGGCCUCCAGUACUUCUUGGCCAGCAGUUGGUAAGUGCGGCGGGCCCCCGGGUAGCCCGUGGCCAAAGUCGUGUGGGCCCAGGUGAUGAGUUCGAGACGGUCCCGCUUAGGCAUGAACUGUUUGUCGGGAGGACAGGCUGCUGGGAUUCUUGCGCUGGGGAUACAGGCUAAGUUCUGUGCUAGGGGCCACUCCAGGGCGCCCACUAUGCAGGAGGGAGGCAUAAUGUAACUCUCUUGCUCCGUCGGCCACUCUGGGGCAUAAAUGCGAGACAGGGCCUCAGCCUUUGUAUUCUUUGAACCAGGUCGGUAAGACAGGGUGAACUGGAACCUGGAGAAGAAUAAGGACCAGCGGGAUUGGCGAGGAGUGAGCCGUUUGGUGGUUCAUAGAUAUUCCAAAUUCUUAUGGUCCGUGAAGAUAACAAAUGGGUGUACUGCCCCCUCCAACCAGUGUCUCCACUCUUCUAGGGCCAGCUUGAAGUUCACGGUUCCCCACAUCAUAGUUGCGCUCUGCUGGCGACAACUUCCAGGAAAAAAAGGCCACGGGGUGUAACUUGGGACUCUUGCCAAACCUUUGCGAUAGAAUUGCUCCCACUCCCACCUCUGACGCGUCGACCUCCACGAUAAAAGGCCUGGAGGGAUCCGGGUGUCUGAGAAUGGGAGCCGUGGUGAAAGCCCGCUUAAGUCUCUUCAGAGACUCCUAGGCAACUGGGGUCCACAGCAGUCGCCUGGGCUUACCUCUCAGGAGCAACGUCAGGGGUUGCACUACUUUACUGAAGUGUCUAAUGAAUCUUCGGUAAAAAUUUGCAAAGCCAAGGAAACGCUGCAACUUCCUGACGAUUCGCGGAGUGGGCCACUCCACGACCGCCUGAAUCUUACGCUGGUCCAUAGCGACUCCCCUUGGGCUAAUGAUAUACCCCAGGAAAGAGAUUGUGUGCUGGUGGAAUUUGCACUUCUCGGCCUUUAUGUACAGCUGGUACUGUAGGAAGCGUUGCAGUACGUGCCGGACAUGCUGGACAGGUUCCUCCAGGGAGGUCGAAUAAAGCAGGAUGUCGUCAAUGUAGGCAAUGAUGUACCUUCCUAGCAUGUCCCUCAGAGCGUCGUUGAUCAGGUUCUGGAACAUGGAGGGGGCGUUAGCGAGCCCAUACAGCAUGACCAGGUACUCAUAAUGUCCAGAGGUGGUGCUGAAGGCCGUUUUCCACUCGUCCCCCUCCCUAAUACGAAUUAAGUUAUAAGCGCUGCGGAGGUCCAGCUUAGUGAAGAAGGUGGCGGACUGUAACUGUUCCAAGGCUGAGGGGACGAGAGGCAGUGGAUAUCAGUACUUAACGGUUACUUGGUUGAGGGCCCAAUAAUCAAUGCAUGGUCGGAGGCCCCCUCCUUCCUUCUCCACAAAGAAGAACCCGGCAGACGCAGGGGAUGUGGACGGUCGGAUGUACCCCUGCCAGAGAGCCUCCUGAAUGUACUCCUUCAUGGCCUGCUGCUCCGCUUGGGAGAGCGGGUAAACGUGACCCCGAGGUAGGCUGGCCCAGGGGAGGAGGUCAAUGGCACAGUCGUAGGGUCUAUGAGGUGGAAGACAACUGGCCCUCUCCUUGCUGAACACCUCAUGUAGGUCGCGGUACUCGGUGGGGAUUUUAACUGGGGCAAGCGACAGGGGACUCUCCACCGUCGUGGUGGCCAAAGGGACCGUGGGGCCCCUCAAACAAUUCUGCAAGCAAUACGGGGACCAUUGUGUGAGUUGCUUGUCAGUCCAGGAAAUUUGGGGGUUGUGCAGUUCCGGCCAGGGGAGUAUGAGUAUAACGGGGUGUCUGAUGGAGACCGGGAUGUAAAGGACCAGAGUUUCGUGGUGAAGGGCACUAACUUGAAGGCUGACAGGGUGUAUGCUGUGAGAUAUUACGCCUCCCCCUAUAGGCGACCCAUCAAUGGAUUGGAGCUCACGCGGACGGAGGAAGGGAUGUAUGGAAAGGCUGAGCUCCUGUGCCGUCUUCUCAUCUAUGAAGUUCUCCGCUGCUCCGGAGUCGAUGAGUGCUGAAAGAACAAAAGAACGGCCUGAAUUUUCUAUCACGACAGGUACAGAAAAUACGUGAGACGUACAAGACUGGUUGGGACUCACCCAGGCAUGACAAGGUGGGUUGUCAGUGCACCUCCCGUUCCCUCGGCGCCCCCUGUGCGGGCAUUGGCUGAUGGCAUGGGUGUCCUCACCGCAGUAGAAGCACCGGAACUCAUUGCAUCUUCUCUCCCUCUCCUCCUUGCGGGUCCGUGCCCUUCCGAGCUGCAUGGGUUCGCUUGCUGCGCCCGGCUCAGCUGGCAGUAAACCGUGUGGUCUGGGACGGUUGGUAUGGCACAGACGAUCCAGCCUUAUGGUCAGAUCCACGAGGUCAUCAAACAUUAGCUGUUCACCCCGACAGGUCAACUCUUGCAGUAACUCUGGAUCGAGGCCACAGCGAAACGCGGUCUUAAGGGAUGGUUCGUUCCAGCCACUUCGGGCAGCGAUAGUGCGAAACUCUAGCGCGUACUCUCUUGCAGUACGAGAGCCCUGUUUGAGUUCCAUGAGCUCAUCACCAGUCUCCCAGCCAUCAGGAGAAUGGUCAAAGGCGCGCUGGAACCGGGCAAGGAAGUCAUCUAACGAGGGUCUGACACCACCUCCUCGCUCCCACUCAGCCGUGGCCCACGCCAAGGCUGUUCCAGAGAGUAAUUCCAUAAAAUGGGUUAACUUACGGACCUCAGGCAUCUCUGGGUGACUCUUGAAGAACAGCGCACAUUGUAACAUGAAGCCCUUGCAUUGCUCCGGCUCCCCAGCGUAUCUCUCUGGUGUGGACAGAGGCGGGUUGUGCGCCGGCAGCGCAGGAGUGUGAACAGCCGGCGCUGGAAUGUGCGCAGCUGGUGUCGGCUGAACAUGCACUGGGGCGGUUGGCGGUGGUGACGCGAGAGCAGGGGGCGUGGCGUUGGUGGAUGCGGAAACGCUCAGUCACGAGACUUCGGCACGCAACGCGGAUAUCUCAUCCUGAUACACCGCUAGCAUGCGGUUUUGUUCCAGGAUGACACGUUCCCAAUCCGAGGUGCCCGCUGCCUCCGUAGUAUGGCAAAGUAAUCUGUUACGAAGCGUAGACGGAGACAAGCGCGGGCGAGCGGAGGGAUGGCGUGAGGAAGAAUCCAGAACGAGAAUCGAAUCGGGACAGGACAGGUAAGCUGUGAAUCUGGGACGUAGGCAAAAGCGUAGUGAGAGACGAGCGUGAAGUCGAGCACCAGGGAAAGCCUGGUGGGAGGCCCUUAUAUAACCUUAGGUGUUUGCAGGUGUUCGUAAUUAGAACUCGAGCACGGGUAUGACUGGGAAGUGUAGUCCUCCUCCGCCACGUCCCUGGGCGGCACUACACUUUGUGAGCUGCCGCGCCGAUUUCGCCAUCUCGUAACAAAGAUUAAUAAUUAUAAUAAAAUAAAGAGCUUACAAUAAGACACAGUUUCUUCAAACAAUAAUAAAUAAAUAAUAAACUAGUAUAAAUAAUAAAUAAUGAAAUAAUAAUAAAAAAUAAUUGACUUUGUCUUAAAUUAAGGCACCAGAAGCAUUGGUAUUUUUAGCAUUACUAAAACAGGGGAAAUGCUGCAACAUAGUGUCAGGGAUUGUAGAAGGUGACAGAUGCAAGCACAGAUUUUUCUGAAUAAAGUGCAAAACAAACAAACAACCAAAACUGUGAAAACAAGAACCAUAAACAUAACAAUGAGCACAUGGCAAAAACAUGAAGACUGUGAGAGUGGCUGUAGGACACACGAUAACACAUGAACACAAAAACAACAAAAGCUUGACAAUUAGGUGCUGAAAAACUAGAACUUCUAUAGGGGUGAUUGUUAGGGGUAACACAGAACAGGUGUGAGUGGUCAGUGGGGCAUGCAACAUGGUCAUGUGACAUGCUGGGUCUGAUUGAUAAUGUAGUUCAGUGUGGAUUUCAGCAUAACCAUGACACAUAGCUGCUUCAAUGAAAAAUUUAGGUUUGCAAGUGGUCUUAUUCUUAAAAUAAGGAAGACCAUCUUUUAUUAUGCAAACCAUUGUUGUAGCUUGUUACUGGUUAAAUCUUGCUCAAUAUUAGCUGGAAUAUAUUAUUAAGACAAAGUUAGAUAUAUUUUCUCAAAAUGAGAUUGCUUUUUUAAUGCAAAACAUGCUCAACAAGAUUAUUUUUUUUUCACACAAAAAAAACUAAUUUCCCAGAAACAAGGCAUUUUUUUACUUUUUUGAAAUUCCCUUUUUGCAGUGCAAGUUUCUUCAUAACAAAAUCAGGAGGACUUAGCAAUUUCUAUAAAAACAAAGGCCACUUGUUCAAUCUCUUGCCAUUUCAAGGACUACUGCCACACCCCACUCUGUACCAUGCUCCCUCUGAGCCUCUAGCACUGCUCGAUUGGCCCCCCCAACUCUUGGGGUACAAGGAACACAUGUAUUAAUGCUCUCCUGGCACCCAGUUGGUGGAAUGAACUUGUGCAUGUCUUCAGACGAAGACGUAAUACAUACCUCUUCACCAAACACUUACAUUUGCACUUUGUUAAUUAAAAAAAAAAUGCUUUUCAUGUUUUUUUUUCAUAUUGUAAUAACCUCCCCAACAGGGUUUUUAGACUGAUGGUACUCUUAGUCCCUGACUACAAAGCACUUCUGUUGUUAGACAAACAAAAUGCCUUUGCUGUACAAGCAAAACAAAUGCAAAUGCAACUACAUGAGACUCGAGAGAGAACUCGCUUGAAGUAAGGUUACACCAAGAAAAAUAGACGCUAACCUCUUCCCCUCAUCUCUGUCAUGAAUGUUGUAUUUCCUGUUUAUGUUGGAUUGUAUUUCUGAUUUUCUGGUUAUUGUCAAAUACCUCACGCUGUGUGACAAAGUUCUAUUUCCACUCACUUUACGUGCUACAUAUUACAAACCUUAAGAGUCUGCAACUGAAAUUCUGCACCACACUGCUCUCAACGUAUGGUUUCCAGUUGUUUAGUAACCUGUGUUUUACACCCUGAAUUACAUUCAAAAUUACGUUCAGAUGGUGCAACUGGCUGCAGAACAAUAAACUGUAUGCUUGGUAAUUAUGGUAGACCAUGCAGGGUAAAAUUUUUAACUUCAGGAAGCCUGGAAUGUAAUGGCGAGAAUUAUUUUUACUUGCCUGUAGAUUUCACAUGAAAGAGUUUUGUGAAUCCUGAAAUAUGACUGCAUAAACAUGAGAUCAGUUUGGUUUUGCACAGAUGAAAAUGCCAUUCAUAUGAAGGAAGGCAAAUAAGAAUAUAUGUAGCAUCCUUUAUGUGGAAGAAAAUGUAUGUUCAUGUAUAUUACUACUCGUAUCAAAAUAUAACUAAAUAUAACUAUCUGAAUAAGAACUAAGAAAAUAAGAACUUCCAAAUUUAUUUAAUAUGUCAACAUAGUGUAUGUAAAACAUAGAAUAGAAUAAUUGUUUUAGAUUUCCUUAUACAGUGAGGGAAAAAAGUAUUUGAUCCCCUGCUGAUUUUGUACGUUUGCCCACUGACAAAGAAAUGAUCAGUCUAUAAUUUUAAUGGUAGUUGUAUUUGAACAGUGAGAGACAGAAUAACAACAAAAAAAUCCAGAAAAACGCAUGUCAAAAAUUUUAUAAAUUAAUUUGCAUUUUAAUGAGGGAAAAAAGUAUUUGACCAUCUCUCAAUCAGAAAGAUUUCUGGCUCCCACGUGUCUUUUAUACAGGUAACGAGCUGAGAUUAGGAGCACACUCUUAAAGGAAGUGCUCCUAAUAUCAGUUUGUUACCUGUAUAAAAGACACCUGUCCACAGAAGCAAUCAAUUAAUCAGAUUCCAAACUCUCCACCAUGGCCAAGACCAAAGAGCUCUCCAAGGAUGUCAGGGACAAGAUUGUAGACUUACACAAGUCUGGAAUGGGCUACAAGACCAUGGCCAAGCAGCUUGGUGAGAAGGGGACAACAGUUGGUGCGAUUAUUCGCAAAUGGAAGAAGCACAAAAGAACUGUCAAUCUCCCUCGGCCUGGGGCUCCAUGCAAGAUCUCACCUCGUGGAGUUGCAGUGAUCAUGAGAACAGUGAGGAAUCAGCCCAGAACUACACGGGAGGAUCUUGUCAAUGAUCUCAAGGCAGCUGGGACCAUAGUCA